UUCACCCUCACCUCAGCGCCGCAGACCUCACUACCUUGCGCUACUCUGGACUCUCAACCCUCGUCUUCCAUUCUCUUUUGGCCUCUGCCAUCCUCCGGAGUCCAGACUGCAGCAGCCGCGAAGGAGCCUUUCUCCCCCUUAUCCCCUCCUUCUCCCUCUCCCUUUCUCAUACCCGCGCUCUCUCCAUCGUCUCCCACGCAGUGAAAUAGCAGCAAUAGUACAGCACGCACCAUCGCCCUCCGUGAAGCACAGCGCAGUGCAGUCUAGCCGCUGUGUCUUCCGUCACACAGUUCUUCUAGCCUCGUCGCCUCCGUCGCAGCAUCUCCCUCUAUCGCAGCAUCUCUGUUGUCUGUAAUGGAGCCUAAGCUUCAGGUUCUUUGUUUGCUGAACAAUUUUUUGCAAUCUUGCUAAGAAACAUCAAAAUAUGGCUGCUUUGCUGUACAAAUUAAUGGAAGCAACUUUUUUUUCUUUUUAUUGUGUUGAACUUUUCAUGUUUUUCGAUUGUUGUAUUUAUAAUUUCUUUUGUUGUUGAACUUCUUGUAUCAAGAUUUUUGUUAGUUAUUAUGUUGUAUGACUGUAUUUAUGACUUUGUGAAAUUAAACUUGUUAUUUUGUUGCAUAUGUUUUUGUUGAAAAUAACAUAGGACAGAGUUUUAGUACAUGAGAAAUAACUGAAACUGAAUUCAUUUUUUCAGUUGAAAAACCGAAUAAAUCGAACCAAAUCAAACCGAUUUUAAUUGGUUUGGUU
Molecule: non-coding RNA, 747 nt
Organism: Arachis ipaensis
Lineage: Eukaryota; Viridiplantae; Streptophyta; Magnoliopsida; Fabales; Fabaceae
Source: RefSeq, a predicted model, not a curated record